RNAcentral lists this ribosomal RNA (602 nucleotides) under uncultured crenarchaeote. Its description in RNAcentral is "bacterial SSU rRNA". It matches the Rfam family "Archaeal small subunit ribosomal RNA", at positions 558 to 1166 of the family's 1478-position model. The record is from RNAcentral. Lineage: Archaea; Thermoproteati; Thermoproteota.
AUCAAUCGUUGGAUUGCGGGGGAUACUGCUUGGCUAGGGGACGAGAGAGGCAGACGGUAUUUUCGGGGUAGGGGUGAAAUCCUAUAAUCCCGGGAAGACCACCAGUGGCGAAGGCUGUCUGCUAGAACGAGCCCGACGGUGAGGGAUGAAAGCUGGGGGAGCGAACCGGAUUAGAUACCCGGGUAGUCCCAGCUGUAAACGAUGCAGGCUAGGUGUUUGGGCGGCCACGUGCCGCUCUAGUGCCGCAGGGAAGCUGUUAAGCCUGCCGCCUGGGGAGUACGGUCGCAAGAUUGAAACUUAAAGGAAUUGGCGGGGGAGCACCACAAGGGGUGAAGCUUGCGGUUUAAUUGGAGUCAACGCCGGAAAUCUCACCGGGAGCGACAGCAGUUUGAAGGCCAGAUUAAAGGUCUUGCUAGACGAGCUGAGAGGAGGUGCAUGGCCGUCGCCAGUUCGUGCCGUGAGGUGUCCUGUUAAGUCAGGCAACGAUCGAGACCCGCGUCCUCUGUUGCAACUGGCCUAGAGUCAGGCACACUGAGGAGACCGCCGCUGAUAAAGCGGAGGAAGGAGCGGGCCACGGCAGGUCAGUAUGCCCCGAAUCUCCC